RNAcentral lists this transfer RNA (70 nucleotides) under Dipodomys ordii (Ord's kangaroo rat). It matches the Rfam family "tRNA". Rfam says of the family: Transfer RNA (tRNA) molecules are approximately 80 nucleotides in length. Their secondary structure includes four short double-helical elements and three loops (D, anti-codon, and T loops). The record is from Rfam by way of RNAcentral. Lineage: Eukaryota; Metazoa; Chordata; Mammalia; Rodentia; Heteromyidae.
GGGAAUGUGGCUCAGUGGUAGAGUACUUGCCUAGCAUGCAUGAAACCCUGAGUUCAAUUCCUCAGUACCA